UGUGUCUCGGGCAUUUAGAUGUCCUAUUUGGAUUGUAACGUUUGUAUCUCGCGCAAUUAUUAUUUAGGUCGUUACGUUUGUAUCUUGCGCAAUAUUAUCUGAUUCCUUUUUUGGAUUGUUACGUAAGUAUCUUGCGCAAUUUUAGCAGUUGUUAUGUUUGUAUCCUGCGGAACUUAUGAGCUGUCAUCUUAUCUGGAUUGUUACGUUUGCUUCUCGCGCAGCUUGAGCUGUUUUCUUAUCUGGAUUGUUACGUUUGUAUCUUGCGAAACUUUAGAUGUCUUCUUAUUUGGAUUGUAACGUUUGUAUUUCGCGCAAUUAUUAUUUAGAUCAUUACGUUUGUAUCUCGCGCAAAUUUAGCCGUCGUCUUAUUUGGAUUGUAGCCUUUGUAUCUUGCAGAAAUUUAUCGGUCUUCUUAAUUGGAUUGUAGCCUUUGUAUCGCGCAAUUUUAGCUUUUUAGUAUCUCUUGUAAGUUGUCUUAUUUGCAUUGUUACGUUUGUAUCUCGCGCAAUUUAAGCUGUCUUCUUAUUUGGAUUGUUAAGUUUGUAUCUUGCGCAACCUUAGCUGUCUUCUUAGUUAGACUGUAACGUUAGUAUCUUGCCCAAAUUUAGCUGUCUUUUUAUAUGGAUUGUUAAGUGUGUAUCUCGCACAACUUAAGCUGUCUUUUUCUUUUGAUCGUUAUGUUUGCAUCUCGCGCAAUUUGACAUUUUCUCUUAUUUGGAUUGUUACGUUAGUUUAUCGCGCAUUUAUAGCUGUUCUCAAGUCUCAUUUUGAUUGUUACGUUAAUAUCUCGCGCAAUUUUAGCUCUUCACUUUUUUCGAUUGUUACUUUAGUAUCUCGUGUAACUCAAGCUGUCCUUUUUGUUGUUAUUUUUCUUGGUCUUAGGCGUACUGUGUUUCUUUGGGAUUUUUCUUUUCAAGAAGUCAAAGUUAUUUUGAGUGAGUUGCUGAGGAUGUGUCAGACUUACUCCAGAGCUCUUCUUUAUCUACUUUCUUUAUCCCAGGUUUUUCCAGUGAAACUAUCUUUCUCUCACAUUCCAACAAUCACGUGUACUUUCGGUCGAGGAUGAAAUGGCUAACGAUGCGAAAUCUCUGCGUAAUUUUGCUGUGAGGAAAACAGCUAUUGUUGGCAAUUUUUCGUCCAAACUCAUCUUUGGUCAUAGCAUGGUACGUUUUCUUCAACUUGGGCAGAAUAAGCGCUGUGGUAGAACAGGACGAAAGACAAAAGGAAGCACGCUCAACUUCCAACUGUUACCUUUGUUGGAGACCUCUUCCAGAAAGCUUGUUGAAUGGCGGAUAACUGAAGUCACAAUCAGUUACCAAUACUUCAGGAUAAAGGUCCUGCAGCCCAAAGACAAGUUCAAUGCAGAGGUAGAAAAUAAAUUUUAACAGAACUCAAUUGCGUCAAGAUUGAUCAUUUGAUUUUGGGAAGAUUUAGUUUCCUUAUCGACCUAAAACAUCUUUUCUGCUUGUUAGCAUCAGGUGUUUCGAAUUCAAGACAAGAUUUGCUUAGUAACUGCCCUCCAUUUUUUUUUCAUUUAAGAAUUCAGGUGACAUCCCUCAAAAAAUGUUUUUAAUUUUCCCGCCAAAAAACUUAGAAAAUACGGGGUGCUUAAAAUACGCAUGCGCCAGACUUUUUUUCUUUUUUUUGGAAGAGCUGUAAGUAACAUCCGGUUAAAAUGGCGUAAUUUUCCCGCCAAAAAACUUAGAAAAAUACAGGCGCCCAAAAUACGCCUGCGCCGAUUUUUUUUUUUUAUCAAAGGUGUGUUUAAGACUCCAUAUCUUAUUACUUUUAUAUUUCUAUGUUGUUAUUAAAUAAAGUCAAUAAACUCGA
Molecule: unclassified non-coding RNA, 1830 nt
Filed under: Pocillopora damicornis (cauliflower coral)
Lineage: Eukaryota; Metazoa; Cnidaria; Anthozoa; Scleractinia; Pocilloporidae
Description: uncharacterized LOC113670618, transcript variant X2
Source: RNAcentral